Molecule: ribosomal RNA, 236 nt
Filed under: uncultured bacterium
Lineage: Bacteria
Description: partial 16S ribosomal RNA
Rfam family: Bacterial small subunit ribosomal RNA
Source: RNAcentral
CGACGGGUGAGUAACACGUAUGCAAUCCACCUGUAACAGGGGAUAACCCGGAGAAAUCCGGACUAAUACCCAUAAUAUGGGCGCUCCGCAUGGAGAGUCCAUUAAAGAGAGCAAUCUUGGUUACAGACGAGCAUGCGCUCCAUUAGCCAGUUGGCGGGGUAACGGCCCACCAAAGCGACGAUGGAUAGGGGUUCUGAGAGGAAGGUCCCCCACAUUGGAACUGAGACACGGUCCAA